GGUUGCCUGCGGUGCAGGUGAUGGAUGGACAGUCGUCUUGGGCCAACACUCUCUGACAAGUGAGCCGCGACGCCGCGUGGUGUGCAAGCCUCUGUGAGAGGAAGCCUAAAACGCGGUUGUAGACAGCGGCUCCACCUGCGAUCGCAGGUUCAAACGACGUCCCCACACGGCAUCGCGGGUACCAC
RNAcentral lists this non-coding RNA (185 nucleotides) under Luteitalea sp. Its description in RNAcentral is "6S RNA". It matches the Rfam family "6S / SsrS RNA". From Rfam's summary of the family: E. coli 6S RNA was the first non coding RNA to be sequenced, but its function was unknown until recently. It consists of 184 nucleotides that fold into an extended hairpin structure with a large single-stranded internal bulge. Lineage: Bacteria; Pseudomonadati; Acidobacteriota; Vicinamibacteria; Vicinamibacterales; Vicinamibacteraceae. The record is from RNAcentral.